UAUGUUCAUUUGCAUGCUUUGAUCGUGAAAUAUGGACAGAAUAGUACACAAAGGUUGACUGUUAACCAGUGUACAAUGUGCAUGCAUACUGAAAUGAAAUGAUUGGAUGACUGUUAUCCAAUAAGGAGGACUGCUCUCCUAGAUUUGAAUGAUUGCAAUACUAAUGUAAGAUUAUAAUCUAACAUUCUCGUUCUGAAAAUCAUAUACUAGUAUUUUGACGACUGAUUUUUAAUCAUGGAGGACUGCUCUCCUAUUUAUGAUGUUGAACACUAUAUUUAUAUGUUCAUUUGCAUGCUUUGAUCGUGAAAUAUGAACAGAAUAGUACACAAAGGUUGACUGUUAACCAGUGUACAAUAUGCUUGCAUACUGAAAUGAAAUGAUUGGAUGACUGUUAUCCAAUAAGGAGGACUGCUCUCCUAGAUUUGAAUGAUUACAAUACUAAUAUAAGAUUAUAAUCUAACAUGCUGGUUCUGAAAAUCAUAUACUAGUAUUUUGAUGACUGAUUUUUAAUCAUGGAGGACUGCUCUCCAAUUUAUGAUUUUGAUGAAAAAGUUGCUUACAUUGAAGAAUUAUCAAGGCCAAUGGAUAAAUAUUGACAAGUUUAAAGUCGAUUUUCCUUUUAGCUACAUAGUGGAGUCUUUGCCGCAUAUCGUGAGAAAUACAAAAUCUCAAUCAACGAACAAGAUCUACGACAUAUAUUUCUCUAAAUUCAGAGACUGGUGUUCGAAGCAUUCAUUUACGCAUCCUCCUGCAUCAGUGUCUACUGUUGCUCUUUUUGUGGGAGGUUUGGUGCGACAGAGGGUAUCAACGUCGCUUCUGGAAGCGUAUUUCUACAGUAUAAGUCGGACUCAUGAAUUUUCUUCAAACUUGUACCCAUGCGAGGAUAAGUUCCUUUGUGAUGUGUUUAUUGUGUUUUUAUGGUAUGAAAUAUUUGAUUAUGUGAUAUCAAUUGGGAAAGUGCUCACAUCGAAAUUGAUAUUCCCAGAAGCAAAACGGAUAUCUACAGGAGAGGAAAUUCGGUGAUAUACGCAAAAACUGGAAACGAUUUGUGCCCUGUGUUUUGGUUAAACAUCGUCAUGUCUGAGAUGGAUGUCUUCCAAUGAUUACAUGUUUACAGAUGUAAAUUUUGUAAAUCCCUCAAUAAAUGCAAAGUUUCAAAUAAACUCAAACCUCUGUCAUAUACAAGAGCUAGGAAAAUAUUGUCUUCUUUAAAUGAAAUUGGCCUUGACAGUUUUGAAUAUGCUUUACACAGUUUACGUAGCGGCGGAGUUACAGCCGCUGCUAAUGAUAAUGUGUUUGUUCGAUUGCUUAAUGUGUUUGUUCGAUUGCUUAAAAUACAUGGUCGGUGGGUCACGGAUAAAGCCAAAGACGGUUAUAUAAAAGCCAAUCUUGAACAUAAAUUUCUGGUUUCAAUGAAUCUUGGAUUAUAAAAUUAUUUUAAUUUAUUGCACCUACUGUCCUUUGUUUAAUGCGAUUUGUAACGAACGCAACAAUCCUACAGUAUAUUCUUUUUCUUUGUUUUUCAAUAAAUUAGUCAAGAAAAUAUUUAUUUGCGGAGGAGUGAAACGAGGGAGAAAAUAAAUUUAUUUCUUUACGUUUUUACUUCGGUAUUCUCCGUGAAACUUCGUAUCUUAAGAAACUGGUUUUUCAUGCACGAGCGAUUUAGCGCUCACUAUAAAUACUUUUACCAGGGAAUGUUCGAUUAAUGCGACGUUCGUUACAAAGAAUCGCAGGUUGUUUUGUGUCUUUGGUUUUCCCUGCCCUCCCAGCCCUUGCAUUGUUUAUCGUGUAAAAUUUAUUACAUGUAGUUUGAUUUGUAUGUUUUGAAUAAAAAUGCGAUUUGUAACGAACGCAACAAUCCUACAG
Long non-coding RNA from Saccostrea cuccullata (small rock oyster), 1866 nucleotides. RefSeq lists it as uncharacterized. The record is from RefSeq and is a predicted model, not a curated record. The transcript has 2 exons. NCBI's taxonomy places the organism in Eukaryota, Metazoa, Mollusca, Bivalvia, Ostreida, Ostreidae.